GGGAGAACUAAAUGGAGGAGGGGGACAUCCGUGGGGUUGUACAAAUACACACAGCUGUCAUAACUCAGGCCGUAUAUCUAUGAUCUGGGUGUUCUGUAAUAAUGCCUCAGUUUAAACGAAAAGGUGGAAGCAGGUGUAGAAAGGGCAGGAAAACGGGAGUGUGCAAUGUGGGCAGAGCCAUGGAGGCAAAGGACAGUGGCCGCCUCCAGCAUCAGCAGCUGUGGAGUCAGCAGAAACCAACCCCUCCACUCAAGGGACAAGAGGAUCCACAUCUUAGCUUGUUAGCAUCUUAGGUGGAUCUCAAACGUCUUGUGAUGAGAAUCAUCCACCCCAGGUCGCCUGAGUCAGGACUUCUGCAGGUGCAGCCUGGACAUCCCAGGUAAUUUUAAAGCUUCCCAGGUAAUUUGAUGUGCAGUAGGCAUCAAAAACCUCUAAUCCUGAUCAGUGACACAGAGGGUACAUCCUGGCCUAUCUGAUCCUCAGAAGCACUUUAGAGCUUCCUAAAACUGCAUUUCAGGAGGCCCAGGGCAGGGUCUGUGUUUGUCUCCUGCAGCUGCCAAAACGACCAACCACAACCUGGCUUACAAGAAGAGGUUUAUUGCUCGCGGCUCUGCAGCACAAAAGUCUGAGAGCAAGGUGUCCGCAGGGCAGCGCUUGCUCUGCAGGUUCUAGGGAAGAGUCCCUCCCGCCUCUGCAGCUUCAGGUGCCUCCCUGCAACCUCUGCCUCCCUCCCUCGCUGCAGAGCCUUCUUCUCUCUGGGUGUGUCUCCAUCACCUCUCUUCUAAGGACAACUGUCAUUGGAUUUAGGGUUCACCCUGGUAGUACAGGAUGACCCAUCUCAAGAUCAUCCAUUUAAUUACAUCUCAAAAGACCCUUUCCAAAUAAGGUCACAUUCACAGGGUCUGGAUAUUAGGACAUGGACAUAUGGGGAGGGAGCACCCUUUAAUCCAUGACGGCCCAAGAGUUUAACAUUUUUAGUGAAUUCCUCGAGUCACAUGGUGAUUGGGAACAGCUGGCCAGGAGGACACCUCCACGCUCGGAUCUUAUGUCUUCAGCCACCACUUUGUUCUCCGAGGGUUUCCUGCUGCUGGUCCCGGCUCUCUAAUUCUGCUGUCCUUUUUCUGGGGACAAGGGCCUUUGUAAGGAUUCAGUAAACAUGCAGCGGUGAGAAUGGGAAAGAUGCCUCGCAGGACUGCCGGCGAGCAGCUCCUUCUCCAGAGCCCCCGCUGCACGGCCGCUCUCCCUCGCAGCCUCGCCUCUCAGGGGUGCGCCCAUCUGUUCACACGACAUCUGUGGUAAUUUAAUAAACGUGGGCACACAGAAGGCGGCUCCGCUUUGGGAAGACAUUUAACCUGCUGCAGAGGUAAAUUAUUUGACUCUACCCGGUGAGAGCGAAGAAAGAUGUCCUUAAUGCAGCUUCUGCUGGGCUCCGUGUGUGCCCGAGGACAGUGGCCAGUGAAGGUGACAGCAAGGUUUAGCUGUCUCUAGCUCAGCCUCUACUGUGCUCUGAGUGUGGAAAAGCCAUUGCGAGUUAAGUGCUGAGAAUAGAGUGGGCUAUAACUAACAAAGUACUACAAAUAACCUUGCCAUUGGCAGAGCCAUUUCUUUUUUUCCUCCUGAAAACCAUAAAGGCAGAGAUGAUGAUAUUCAUGAGUAUGGUGCUCUGUGAUAUCUGAUGAGACAUUAGGAGCCUUGGUUAGGAGGAACCGAAGGGGUUCGUCAGUCUGUUACAGCUGCAGUCACUGCCUGCUCAAGGUUGAAAGUGCAGAUAAUUUCCUACUCAAAAUAUAAUUUGGGUCUCUGUUCACCUUAAUGCCCCUUACAGAGGCUGCUAUGAACUCCCUUUGACAUCAUUGCCCGAGAGAAAUCUCAGAUGUGAUUUUUCUGCUUACCUGAAAUGGGCUUUGGAACAGUCUUUGGUUCUUUACAGAAAUUAUGACAUGAAGAAGUAUUCAUAGGAAGUCAGAGUUCAUUACAAUUUAUAGGAGACCAGCCUUCAAAUUUGAACGUAUUUUCAGAACAAAAAGGAAGAUAAAUUGUUUAGUGUACUUAAAGGGUUUAGCUUAAUUAGAGUCUGUCUUUGGGACAAAAUCAUUUCCGUGGCAAAAAGGAAAUAAAUCCCUAGCUCUGAAGCAUUUUUUAAAUAUCUCAUUCAAAUACUUUGUUUGAAAUUAUAUUGAGCAGAACUAUUUGGGGAAGUAGUAAAGCUACUCUGUAUGUCUGUUUUAAAACCUUGUCUUAGAGUUUUACUACGUUUUAAAAGUUAUGAUCCGGAUUUGUCACUGAAGGGAGAAAUCGUUUCUUUAUUCUAUGAAAUCUUUUCUCAUACAGUGUACUCUGCAUGUAACUUUUAUUAUCAUUAUCAGCCCUCCACCUUUAUUCAUUAUUAUGAUUUUCCUUAUCAGAGUCCUUUCUCGUCUUUCCCUCUGAUUGCUUCCCAUGUGAGAGAACAUCAGCUACCCCGUCUCUGAAGUACGGCACAGCCAGAGGUCAGAUGGCCUCUUCUGACUUCACUGCCCAGGGUGCUGGACAUGAGACCAUGAGGGCUAAGCUGACCAGGAAGCAGAGGGAGGAAGGUGUCACCUCCACGCAGCUUUUCUUCUAGGCAUGGUUGCAGGAACGUUGUAGAAAUUAUUAGGUAACCUACAUUUCCACUCUAUAGGGAAAGAAGUCUUCUGAGAAAUCUUUUUUUUU
This 2694-nucleotide long non-coding RNA is filed under the name Homo sapiens (human). Its description in RNAcentral is "HSALNT0253055". The record is from RNAcentral. Lineage: Eukaryota; Metazoa; Chordata; Mammalia; Primates; Hominidae.